This 340-nucleotide long non-coding RNA is filed under the name Dicentrarchus labrax (European seabass). RNAcentral's name for it is "lncRNA (ENSDLAG00005034253.1)". The record is from RNAcentral. Lineage: Eukaryota; Metazoa; Chordata; Actinopteri; Moronidae.
GAGACAACUACAUAAUCAGUAAUUAUGAAGUAUUUCUCAUUCUUUACUCCAUUCACUCAUGACAAUCCUAGGAAAACAAAUUCAGCUCACAGAACACUACUGAAUAAUAUGCAUCAGCUGGGAUGUAAAAAUGAACCUACUCUGAAAAAGGCAUUGAUGCUGAUUUAUGUCAUCGAGGAACACUGACAGCCAAAGAUGCUGAACCAUACUCUAGAUACACAACCCUGGCAGGUACACAGUGACCUAUUUGGCCUUUGAGAGAAAAGGAUAUUACCCUGAGACAGUUCACCCUCAACCCUUCAAGUUUCAGUAGUGAGUAACUGCUAGCAUAAACUUUAUU